AGCUUUCAGCAAUGGAUGCCUUGGUUCACGCAUCGAUGAAGGACGCAGCUAAAUGCGACUAACAUAGUCAUAGUUGCUUUGUUGUUGAGAUGAUGUCAUGUGCUGUGGAUGUGUUGCAAGGUGUUG
This is a non-coding RNA of Eimeria mitis, 126 nucleotides long. The record is from Rfam. Lineage: Eukaryota; Apicomplexa; Conoidasida; Eucoccidiorida; Eimeriidae.